RNAcentral lists this ribosomal RNA (399 nucleotides) under uncultured Limnohabitans sp. RNAcentral's name for it is "bacterial SSU rRNA". It matches the Rfam family "Bacterial small subunit ribosomal RNA", at positions 1 to 410 of the family's 1533-position model. Lineage: Bacteria; Pseudomonadati; Pseudomonadota; Betaproteobacteria; Burkholderiales; Comamonadaceae. The record is from RNAcentral.
CAUGGAGUUUGAUCCUGGCUCAGAUUGAACGCUGGCGGAAUGCUUUACACAUGCAAGUCGAACGGUAGAGGGGGCAACCCCUUGAGAGUGGCGAACGGGUGAGUAAUAUAUCGGAACGUGCCCAGUCGUGGGGGAUAACGUAGUGAAAAUUACGCUAAUACCGCAUACGAUCUAAGGAUGAAAGCGGGGGAUCGCAAGACCUCGCGCGAUUGGAGCGGCCGAUAUCAGAUUAGGUAGUUGGUAGGGUAAAGGCCUACCAAGCCAACGAUCUGUAGCUGGUCUGAGAGGACGACCAGCCACACUGGAACUGAGACACGGUCCAGACUCCUACGGGAGCAGCAGUGGGGAAUUUUGGACAAUGGGCGAAAGUCUGAUCCAGCCAUUCCCGCGUGCAGGAUG